CGGGGGGGGCAAGCGUUGUUCGGAAUUACUGGGCGUAAAGGGCGCGUAGGCGGUUGGAUAAGUCAGCUGUGAAAACCACGGGCUUAACUCGUGGCCUGCAGUUGAGACUGUCUGGCUUGAGUGUGGGAGAGGAGAGUGGAAUUCCUGGUGUAGCGGUGAAAUGCGUAGAUAUCAGGAGGAACACCGGUGGCGAAGGCGGCUCUCUGGACCACAACUGACGCUGAGGCGCGAAAGCUAGGGGAGCAAACAGGAUUAGAUACCCUGGUAGUCCUAGCUGUAAACGAUGGAUACUUGCUGUGGGGGGUGUUAAAUCCCCCCGUGGCGGAGCUAACGCAUUAAGUAUCCCGCCUGGGGAGUACGGUCGCAAGGCUG
RNAcentral lists this ribosomal RNA (372 nucleotides) under uncultured organism. RNAcentral's name for it is "partial 16S ribosomal RNA". It matches the Rfam family "Bacterial small subunit ribosomal RNA", at positions 526 to 896 of the family's 1533-position model. The record is from RNAcentral.